CCUACGGGCGGCUGCAGUGGGGAAUAUUGCACAAUGGGCGCAGGCCUGAUGCAGCCAUGCCGCGUGUGUGAAGAAGGCCUUCGGGUUGUAAAGCACUUUCAGCGGGGAGGAAGGCGUUAAGGUUAAUAACCUAGGCGAUUGACGUUACCCGCAGAAGAAGCACCGGCUAACUCCGUGCCAGCAGCCGCGGUAAUACGGAGGGUGCAAGCGUUAAUCGGAAUUACUGGGCGUAAAGCGCACGCAGGCGGUCUGUCAAGUCGGAUGUGAAAUCCCCGGGCUCAACCUGGGAACUGCAUUCGAAACUGGCAGGCUAGAGUCUUGUAGAGGGGGGUAGAAUUCCAGGUGUAGCGGUGAAAUGCGUAGAGAUCUGGAGGAAUACCGGUGGCGAAGGCGGCCCCCUGGACAAAGACUGACGCUCAGGUGCGAAAGCGUGGGGAGCAAACAGGAUUAGAUACCCGUGUAGUC
RNAcentral lists this ribosomal RNA (465 nucleotides) under uncultured Klebsiella sp. RNAcentral's name for it is "bacterial SSU rRNA". It matches the Rfam family "Bacterial small subunit ribosomal RNA", at positions 338 to 795 of the family's 1533-position model. Lineage: Bacteria; Pseudomonadati; Pseudomonadota; Gammaproteobacteria; Enterobacterales; Enterobacteriaceae. The record is from RNAcentral.